AUUGAACGCUGGCGGCAUGCCUUACACAUGCAAGUCGAACGGCAGCACGGGGGCAACCCUGGUGGCGAGUGGCGAACGGGUGAGUAAUACAUCGGAACGUGUCCUGUAGUGGGGGAUAGCCCGGCGAAAGCCGGAUUAAUACCGCAUACGCUCUACGGAGGAAAGGGGGGGAUCUUAGGACCUCCCGCUACAGGGGCGGCCGAUGGCAGAUUAGCUAGUUGGUGGGGUAAAGGCCUACCAAGGCGACGAUCUGUAGCUGGUCUGAGAGGACGACCAGCCACACUGGGACUGAGACACGGCCCAGACUCCUACGGGAGGCAGCAGUGGGGAAUUUUGGACAAUGGGGGCAACCCUGAUCCAGCAAUGCCGCGUGUGUGAAGAAGGCCUUCGGGUUGUAAAGCACUUUUGUCCGGAAAGAAAACGCCGUGGUUAAUACCCGUGGCGGAUGACGGUACCGGAAGAAUAAGCACCGGCUAACUAC
Molecule: ribosomal RNA, 481 nt
Filed under: uncultured bacterium
Lineage: Bacteria
Description: bacterial SSU rRNA
Rfam family: Bacterial small subunit ribosomal RNA
Source: RNAcentral